UGGGGAAUUUUGGACAAUGGGCGCAAGCCUGAUCCAGCCAUGCCGCGUGAGUGAUGAAGGCCCUAGGGUUGUAAAGCUCUUUCACCGGUGAAGAUAAUGACGGUAACCGGCGAAGAAGCCCCGGCUAACUUCGUGCCAGCAGCCGCGGUAAUACGAAGGGGGCUAGCGUUGUUCGGAUUUACUGGGCGUAAAGCGCACGUAGGCGGACUUUUAAGUCAGGGGUGAAAUCCCGGGGCUCAACCCCGGAACUGCCUUUGAUACUGGAAGUCUUGAGUAUGGUAGAGGUGAGUGGAAUUCCGAGUGUAGAGGUGAAAUUCGUAGAUAUUCGGAGGAACACCAGUGGCGAAGGCGGCUCACUGGACCAUUACUGGCGCUGAGGUGCGAAAGCGUGGGGAGCAAACAGG
Molecule: ribosomal RNA, 404 nt
Filed under: Actinomycetes bacterium
Lineage: Bacteria; Bacillati; Actinomycetota; Actinomycetes
Description: Actinobacteria bacterium partial 16S ribosomal RNA
Rfam family: Bacterial small subunit ribosomal RNA
Source: RNAcentral